RNAcentral lists this ribosomal RNA (305 nucleotides) under uncultured bacterium. Its description in RNAcentral is "partial 16S ribosomal RNA". It matches the Rfam family "Bacterial small subunit ribosomal RNA", at positions 508 to 807 of the family's 1533-position model. The record is from RNAcentral.
ACAGCAGUCGCCGCGGUAAUACGAAGGGUGCAAGCGUUAAUCGGAAUUACUGGGCGUAAAGCGUGCGUAGGCGGUUUGUUAAGUCUGUUGUGAAAUCCCCGGGCUCAACCUGGGAAUGGCAAUGGAUACUGGCAAGCUAGAGUGUGUCAGAGGAUGGUGGAAUUCCCGGUGUAGCGGUGAAAUGCGUAGAGAUCGGGAGGAACAUCAGUGGCGAAGGCGGCCAUCUGGGACAACACUGACGCUGAGGCACGAAAGCGUGGGGAGCAAACAGGAUUAGAUACCCCCGUAGUCCCUGUCUCUUAUAC